CCUACGGGUGGCAGCAGUAGGGAAUCUUGCACAAUGGGCGCAAGCCUGAUGGAGCAACACCGCGUGAGGGAAGAAGGGUCUCGGAUUGUAAAGCUCUGUUGGUGGAGAAGAAAGUGCGUGAGAGUAACUGUUUACGCAGUGACGGUAUCCAACCAGAAAGUCACGGCUAACUACGUGCCAGCAGCCGCGGUAAGACGUAGGAGGCUAGCGUUAGCCGGAUUUAUUGGGCGUAAAGGGAGCGCAGGCGGUUGUUUAGGUGUGAUGUGAAAGCCCUGGGCUUAACCUCAGAAGUGCAUCGGAAACUGGGGAACUUGAGUGCAGAAGAGGCCAGUGGAACGCCAGGUGUAGCGGUGAAAUGCGUAGAUAUAAGGCAGAACACCGAUGGCGAAGGCAGCUGACUGGUCUGCAACUGACGCUGAGGCUCGAAAGCGUGGGUAGCGAACAGGAUUAGAUACCCGUGUAGUC
Molecule: ribosomal RNA, 465 nt
Filed under: uncultured bacterium
Lineage: Bacteria
Description: partial 16S ribosomal RNA
Rfam family: Bacterial small subunit ribosomal RNA
Source: RNAcentral